This 253-nucleotide ribosomal RNA is filed under the name uncultured bacterium. RNAcentral's name for it is "partial 16S ribosomal RNA". It matches the Rfam family "Bacterial small subunit ribosomal RNA", at positions 524 to 776 of the family's 1533-position model. The record is from RNAcentral.
UACGGAGGGGGCUAGCGUUGUCCGGAAUUACUGGGCGUAAAGCGCACGUAGGCGGCUUUGCAAGUUAGAGGUGAAAGCCCGGGGCUCAACUCCGGAAUUGCCUUUAAAACUGCAUCGCUAGAAUUGUGGAGAGGUAAGUGGAAUUCCGAGUGUAGAGGUGAAAUUCGUAGAUAUUCGGAAGAACACCAGUGGCGAAGGCGACUUACUGGACACAUAUUGACGCUGAGGUGCGAAAGCGUGGGGAGCAAACAGG